This 463-nucleotide ribosomal RNA is filed under the name uncultured bacterium. RNAcentral's name for it is "partial 16S ribosomal RNA". It matches the Rfam family "Bacterial small subunit ribosomal RNA", at positions 28 to 507 of the family's 1533-position model. The record is from RNAcentral.
GAUGAACGCUGACAGAAUGCUUAACACAUGCAAGUCGAUGGGGAAGUGGUGCUUGCACCAUGGUAACCAUGGCGGACGGGUGAGUAACGCGUAAGGAACUUGCCUGCGGGACUGGGAUAACAGCAGGAAACUGCUGAUAAUACCGGAUAAGGUCAUUAAGCUGCAUAGCUUAGUGAUGAAAGGAGACGCCUGCGGAGAGCCUUGCGUCCUAUUAGCUAGUUGGAGGGGUAACGGCCCACCAAGGCGAAGAUAGGUAGCCGGCCUGAGAGGGUGGACGGCCACAAGGGGACUGAGAUACGGCCCUUACUCCUACGGGAGGCAGCAGUGGGGAAUAUUGGACAAUGGGGGCAACCCUGAUCCAGCAAUUCUGUGUGCACGAAGACGGUUUUCGGAUUGUAAAGUGCUUUCAGCAGGGAAGAAGGAAGUGACGGUACCUGCAGAAGGAGCGACGGCUAAAUACGUG